Molecule: ribosomal RNA, 439 nt
Filed under: uncultured bacterium
Lineage: Bacteria
Description: partial 16S ribosomal RNA
Rfam family: Bacterial small subunit ribosomal RNA
Source: RNAcentral
CUACGGGUGGCUCCAGUGAGGAAUAUUGCACAAUGGGGGGAACCCUGAUGCAGCAACGCCGCGUGGAGGAUGACGCAUUUCGGUGUGUAAACUCCUUUUAUAUGUCAAGAAAAUGACGGUAGCAUAUGAAUAAGCACCGGCUAACUCCGUGCCAGCAGCCGCGGUAAUACGGAGGGUGCAAGCGUUACUCGGAAUCACUGGGCGUAAAGGACGCGUAGGCGGGAUAUCAAGUCAGGUGUGAAAUCCUACAGCUUAACUGUAGAACUGCACUUGAAACUGGUAACCUAGAGUAUGGGAGGGGGAGAUGGAAUUAGUGGUGUAGGGGUAAAAUCCGUAGAUAUCACUAGGAAUACCUAAAGCGAAGGCGAUCUCCUGGAACAUAACUGACGCUAAGACGUGAAAGCGUGGGGAGCAAACAGGAUUAGAUACCCUUGUAGUC